GUGGGGAAUAUUGGACAAUGGGCGCAAGCCUGAUCCAGCCAUGCCGCGUGAGUGAUGAAGGCCCUAGGGUUGUAAAGCUCUUUCACCGGUGAAGAUAAUGACGGUAACCGGAGAAGAAGCCCCGGCUAGCUUCGUGCCAGCAGCCGCGGUAAUACGAAGGGGGCUAGCGUUGUUCGGAAUUACUGGGCGUAAAGCGCACGUAGGCGGACAUUUAAGUCAGGGGUGAAAUCCCAGAGCUCAACUCUGGAACUGCCUUUGAUACUGGGUGUCUUGAGUAUGGAAGAGGUAAGUGGAAUUCCGAGUGUAGAGGUGAAAUUCGUAGAUAUUCGGAGGAACACCAGUGGCGAAGGCGGCUUACUGGUCCAUUACUGACGCUGAGGUGCGAAAGCGUGGGGAGCAAACAGGAUUAGAAACCCCAGUAGUCC
This 425-nucleotide ribosomal RNA is filed under the name uncultured bacterium. RNAcentral's name for it is "partial 16S ribosomal RNA". It matches the Rfam family "Bacterial small subunit ribosomal RNA", at positions 354 to 796 of the family's 1533-position model. The record is from RNAcentral.